Molecule: ribosomal RNA, 120 nt
Filed under: Neogobius melanostomus (round goby)
Lineage: Eukaryota; Metazoa; Chordata; Actinopteri; Gobiiformes; Gobiidae
Source: RNAcentral
CAAAAUGGCCAUACCCCCUUUGCUAUGCCCGAUCCCAUCAGAUCUUGGAAGUUAAGCAGGGAAGGGCCUGGCUGGUACUUGGAUGGGAGACCGUUUGGGAACACCAGGAAGCCUGGAUGA